AAUUGAAGACUCCUGUUGGCCUUGGUUGGUGGCAGCAGCCUUUUGUUGAUAACAUUGUUAUUCUGUCAGAUAAAGGAACUGAUACUGGAGAAAGGGUUGUUUCCUCAAAAAUGAUCCCAGUUACAAGUGAGAUCAUAUGGUGUUUGUCUUUCACCAACUGGCUCAUUUCACUUAGCAUAAUGAUCUCCAGUUGCAUUCAUGCUGUUGCAAAAGUGAACAAGUCUCUUGAGUCCCAUGAAGGGUUUUAUGGGCCUUUGAGGAAUAAGCACACCAGAUCCCACCCAGCUUCAAGAAAAUGUUUGAAAUAACAAAUAGAGGAGAAACAUGUUCUGCUGAGUUUUGGAAUUAAGAUGAUGCUGGCUUCAUAAAAAGAAUUUGGGAGUUUUCCAUCCUUCUGGAUUUUUUUUAAAGAAGUCGCCUAAGGAUCCUAAUGACAGUCAACUUCCAGGCAGAACUGGGACAGGAAAUCUGUGCUCCUCCUUUCCCACAGAUGCACAGCUGUUCCUGCUCAGCGGGUGGAGAGCCAGGCCUGCCACUUACAGAGAGGAGACAACUUAGGUGCCGCUGACUUCUGCCAGUGGGAGGGUGAGAUGUCUACAUCCCAUUGAAGGACAUGCCCAGAUCCUUUUUGGCCACGUGGUGAGCAGAAAUCUGUCACUGAAGUCUGCUGCCUUGGCAGUCUACAGGCUGCAAGUUCAUGGAGAGACCAAGAGCCAGGAAAUGAGUUAGAAAGCUGUGUGACUACAGGCAGACUUGAAGAGUCUGGCACUGUGAAGAACUCAGAGGCAGAACCAUCCAGCCGUAAGAUGAGGUCUCAUUACCCCUACUCAGGGUAGAAGAGAGGCCAGCAAGAUCCAAGAAGGGCAUGAAGAAUAUCAUGGGGACUCCAGGGAUCCUUGACCACAUUCAAGGGCUUGUUUUCUCUUGAUGUGAGUGCUUAGAAGUUUCCCUCCAAGUGGCUCCUGCAAAUGGGAACAUUCAUUCCCUUCAGAUUCUUAACUCUGAGGAAGGGUAUCAGCAUUGGCAUUGGGGUAACUGGCUGGGCCAAUGGUGUUAGUUCACAGACCCCUAGAGCUGUGGAGAUAAACAGAGCCUGUAAGAAAGUUCUUCUUUAUAGUGAAACAAAAUUUUUCCUCCCUACAAUUACUACCCAUUAAUCUGAAGUUCCAGAAAACUGGGCUUCUCUUUGUGUGUCAGUCUUCUGAAUAUUUGAAGUUAUUAAAGAGUCACAAACACUUAAAUUAUCCAGGCAUAUUAUUCUAUGUUUGUUUCUCCAAUAACUGUUUUUAAACCCCUCUUUAUCCUCUUGUUUUCACUAGAUGUUUAUAACUUGUUAUUCAAAAUUUAGUCCAUGGGCCAAGAGCAUUAACAUCCCCUGGGAGUUUGCUAGAAAUGCAGAAUCUCAGGGGUCAUCCUUUUCAUUCUGUAUCAGAAUCUGCAUUUUAACAGGUUCCCUAGGUUAUGUAUAUACACAUUAAAGUUUAAGAAGGACUGGUUUAUAGCAUUUGAUAGCAACAUACACACAUUUAUGUGUAACCUCUAUGCCAAACAAUAGCAUGAUUAAUUAAAUUGUGACAUAUUAAGGCUAUGGGAUAUCAUGCAUUAUGCAUAGCAACUACAUAGAAACCUGAGGAAGAGCUAAUGCUGACAUUUAAAGAGAGUACUGAUUACACCCCAGACUGUGUCCAAAGCAUGUUAGUAAUUACCUCCUUGAGUCAUCACAAUAACCCCCAAAGACAGGUAACACUGCUAUUCCCAUUUUAAAAGUGAUGAAAGGAGUCCAGUGAGGGUGAGUGACUUGACUAUGAUCCAUUGCUGGAGCCCAGGCAGGUGAAUUUCAGAGCCCAUGUGCCUGACCACUGCUAACAUCCAAUGACAUAGCCAGUGUUACAGGAUUAUGUGUAAGCUAUGGCUACAACUGUACACAUAUAAAUUGAGUUUCCCUAAUGAUAGCACAUUGUGCUAUUGUAAUAAAAACAAUUAAAAAACAGCAUGCCCCAAACUGAGCACAGCUUUAUUCAGCCUCAGCAGUAUUUCUACCAUCUCUUACAUUUUCUUCUCAUUUAAACAAUGUUUAUAAUACAAUGAAUAAUAUAUAGUUAUAAUAAAAAAUUUUUCAUACACAAAAAGGAUAUAAAAUGAAAAGUAAAGUACUCCCUUCCCAAAAGCCCUCCUCCACUUUGAGAUAACCACUGUUAGCAGUUUCUUAUAUAUCUUUCAAAAAAUGUGUUCUGCAUUUAAAAUAACGAACACACACACAUAUAUAAUGCACACACAAUCCACUCUUAGCUCAGAUACAUCUGUUAAAGCAGCUUUGUGAUUGGCUCCUGUUUUAUUUAUGAUAAAUUGGAAUACCCAGAUCUUUCUCACAUGAAGUGUUAAGUUUUCAUUUCCAUCUUGUACAGAUUUUUUUUCUCACCUAAAUGUAGGAUAUUUUAUGUCUUCUUACAGAGUUUUAUGUUUUAUGUAGCUGGUUGUGUUCUAGAAUUCCAAUGAAUCAAAUCUUUUUCACUUCUAACUCUAGUACAGAAAAGCUUUCUCUUUCACAAGUCUAAUAGUUAUACCCUGCUCUUCCAAGCCCAAGGAAGUGACUGCAGGGCUGUGGGGAGCAGAGGUGGUUUACAAUGGUCACUAUUAACAGUGAAACAAAAAAUUACAGCAAAAUGUUAGUCAAAGCUAUCUCCAGAUGGUGGGAGUUUUAUUUUUCACUUUUUACUUUUCUGUAUUUCCCAAAUGUUUAACAAUGAGCAUGGGUUAAUUUUGUUAUUAAAAGAAGAAGAAAAAAUGAAAACUGGAAUUUUAUAGAUUAGAUAUUGUUUCUGCCUCUUCACUGUCUUCCUCAGGGAGAUGACACAUCCAUUCUCUUUGUCGGGUAGUGGCCCCUGUAAAGUAAGCAGUAAUUGCUAUAUGCCCAAUGUAUUGACAUUGGAUUUGACCACUUGGCUUGCUAUUGGACUCCUGAUCCCAUAUGACUGAUGCCCUUAUAAAAAGGGGACAGUUAGACAUGGAUACAGGGUGAAUGCCAAUGAACAUGAAGACAGAGAUUGGGGUAAUGCUUCUCACAACUAAGGAAUGCCAAACUUUGCUAGCAAACCACCAGAAGCUAGGAAAAAAGCAUGAAACAGAUUUUCCUUCACAGCCUCAGAAGGUAACAACUCUGCUUACAUUUUGAUCUCAGAAGUCCAGCCUCCAAAAAUGUAAGACAAUACAUUUUUGUUAUUUAAGCAACCCAGUUUGCUUGAGGUACUUUCUUAUGGAAGCACUAAGAAACUAAUAUAAAAGGCCACCUCAGAUUUUGCAUUCAAUUACAAUAUGUGGCUACCUUCUCCACACCAAGCAAUUCCCUGAAACCUGCUGGGUGUUCUGCAAUUCAACUUAACUCUGACACUAUCUACCUUGUGAUAGUGUCAGAUUCCACAGUUUAAGAUUGCAGAGGUUGUCACCUGGGCUUUUGACUGACAGGUUAUAGAUGGGAAAUUUCAACAACCCCCCUCUUUGGAUUCAAUUAACUUGCUAGAAUAGCUCACAAAACUCAGAGAAACAUUUUACUUACUAGAUUAUUAAUUUAUUAUCAAAGGAUAUAUCUCAGGAAGACCCAGAUGAAAGAGAUGAAUAGAGCGAGGUGUGAGGAAAGGGUGUGGAGCUCCCAUGCUCAUUCUGAGCAUGCCGCUCUCCCAGAACCUCCACAUGUUUACUUGCCCAGAACUCUCUGAACCCCAUCAUUUUGGAUUUUUAUGGAGGACAUGGCUGAUUAUAUAAUUGCCAUUGGUAAUUGAUUCAACCUCUAUGUACAGUGAACAUACUGUAAAUAUGACUUAUCACUGUUGAUGUUAACUUUGAUUAUCUGGCUGAGUCAAUCUGGUUUCUGUACUGUAAAGUUACUCUCUGCUCUGUUCCCCACUUUCCAUACUUUAUUCUUUGGAAGGAUGUCACUAUGUGCAGCCCAUGCCUAAGGCAUGGAGACUCAGAUGUAUGGUCCUUCCUGAAGCAAUAUCUUCAUGGAUUAUUGGGAAUUCCACAUGACAGAUUUGUCUGUUGUCUCUCAUUUGUGAUCUAUGUAGAUGUGUACAUUUACUUAUUUAUUCAAUGAUUUAUUUAUGUCAGCAACACAUUUUAUUUUAUUUUUAUUUAUUUUAUUUAUAUUUUUAAUUCUCACCCAAGGGUAUGUUUUUUUUCUGAGAGAGAGAGAGAAACAUCGAUGUAGGAAAGAAUCAUCCAUCAGUAGCCUCCCAUGCCUACCCUGACCAGGAAUUGAACCCACAACUUCUGGUGCAUGUGAGGAUGCUCCAACCAACUGAGUCACCCAACCAGAGUAGUACUGAAUUUUAUUUUACACUUUGGUUUGUACUUCAAUACUAUUUUAUUUAUUUUGUUGUUCAAAUUGUUCUGUUCUAGAAAUUGGGUGUUCUUUCAGAUGGUCCCUGUGUCCCUUUGACAUAACUCUCAUCACUGUGCAUGUGUUUUUAAGUACUUCCUUACUGCAAGAUACUCUAAGCUCAUUGGCAUAUCUCCUGUACCAGUCCUAGAAUCAACAUUUCUCCAAGUAGCCCUCCUACUUUGACUGGAUAUCAAAACCAAGGUAUGAAUUCUAGGUGUGCUCAUUUUUACUGGGGUGUUAUUGCUUCUCAGCCCUCUCAGCAUACAGAGCAAGGAAAUCUAUGUGGAUACUAACCAAUGUAUAUACACAUAUCUAUACAUAUGUUUAUAUAUAAUCAUCUUAGUCUACAUUAAGUUAAAUAUGAGUUCAUAUUGAUAUCUUCAAAUAUAAUACAGUACCACAUGGAUCUUUCUAGCUUCCUUACUUAUCUGUAAAAUUCUGUUCUAACAGUGAGAAACCUGCCUUUGAUCAUCUGCCAUGCAUUUACUCAAUUGUUAAAUCCCAGUAUACACAUAUAGUGUUUUCAGAAUUGUUAACCUGCACUGCCAAGGGAAAGAACUUUGUCAGCUAGGGUACACUGUUUAAGUACAAAUCCUUUUGCUUUUAGACUUACAGAGUCUACUUAUUUCCAAAAUACUCACAUCAACACCUUUCCCUCACCUUCUUCAGGGAGGGUAUUCCAUGCAUUUGUAAUACAAUUAGAUUCUUUUUCACAUCGUACUUUCCAUUCUAAGGCACACUUCCUGCCACCAUAUCCUAAAUGAUUUUUUACAACUUACAUUAUAUUAAGAUUUAUUCUCUGUGCUAUAAAGUUCUAUGGGUUUUGAUAAAUGUAUAGUGUCAUAUAGCCACCAUUACAAUAUCUUACUGAAUAGUUUCAUUACCCUAAACAUCCCCUGUGCUUCCCCUAUUCAACCCUCUCUCUCCCACCUCAACCACCAGCAUCUGACAUAUUUACCAUCUGGAUAGUCCUGCCCUUUCCAGAAUAUAAUCUAAGUGAAAUAACACAGUGUGUGAUGUUUUCAAACUGGCUUCUUUCACUUAGAAGUAUGCAUUGAAGAUUUACCCAUGUCUUUGUGUGGCUUAAUAGCUCAUCUGCUUCCCAUCACUGGGCAGCCUUCAUCAUGUGAACACACCACAAUUUGUUUAUCCAUUCACCUAUUGAAAGAUAGUUCAAUCACUCACAUAACUGCUAUAUAUAUUCAUAUGUAGGUUUUUGCAUAGACAUAAAUUUUCAAAUGACAUAGGUAAUGCCUAGGUGUGUGGUUGCUAAAUUACAUAUUAAGAACUUGUUUGGCUUUAUAAGAAACUGUCAAACUAUCUUCCAAAAUGGCUGUAUGAUUUUAAAUUCUCACCAGCAAUAAGUAAGAGUUACUGUGCCUCCACAUCCUUGUCAGAAAUUAACAUUGUCAAGAGUUUUUCAAUUUUAGUCAUUGCAAUAGGUAUGUAGUGGUAUCUCACUGCACUCCCUUAAUGACAAAAAAGUGGGGAAAGUGUUUUCAAUUGUAUAUUUACUAUUUAUGUAUUGUCUUUGAAAAGAUGUCUAUUCAGAUCUUUGGCCCAUUUUUGAAUUGGUUUGAGUGUCUUGUUAUUGCUGAGUUUGAAGUGUUCUUUGUGUAUUUUGGACAUUAGCCCUUUAACAAAUAUGUGUUUGUAAAUGUUUUCUCCCUGUUUGUGACUUGUCUUAUUCCUUCUCUUAACAGUGCCUUUAGCAGAGCAGUCAUUUUCAAUGUUAAUAAAAUUUAAUGUAUCAUUUUUUUCUUUUAUGGAUCAUACUUUACUUGUGGUAUCUAAAAAUUCAUCACAAAUCUCAAGAUCAUAUGAA
Molecule: long non-coding RNA, 6203 nt
Organism: Artibeus jamaicensis (Jamaican fruit-eating bat)
Lineage: Eukaryota; Metazoa; Chordata; Mammalia; Chiroptera; Phyllostomidae
Exons: 6
Source: RefSeq, a predicted model, not a curated record